This is a long non-coding RNA of Perca flavescens (yellow perch), 407 nucleotides long. RefSeq lists it as uncharacterized. NCBI's taxonomy places the organism in Eukaryota, Metazoa, Chordata, Actinopteri, Perciformes, Percidae. The record is from RefSeq and is a predicted model, not a curated record. The transcript has 3 exons.
CCAGUGAGACACCAGUCCUUCCAGAAACAUUCUAGGGAUUUCCUCUCACGGUCUGAAGCAUGGGAGGAGUGAGCACUCUGAGGAUUUGGGAUGAAAGGGUUAGCACUGCUGUGCUGAUUAUUCACUCAUUACAUGUGAGUAAACACCGUCAGAGCUUAAUGUGGAUUAAGAGAAGACAGAGCCUCUCUAUCAUCAGCCUGGAAGGGAAAGAAGAAAGCUGACAGCUGGGGAAACUCUACAGAAGGUGGCAGAGAUGUGUGUGAGACUGGUUCACACGUCCUGCUCAGAGGUCUCACCUCGGCUGCGGAGCAGGAGUCACAUGUGACGCGGCGGUUUGUGGGAACAGUGCUCGGGACGCAGAUCCACAGUCGACACCUGGCGAUCAAAUCCACAGAAAUAUCCUUCAA